CAGCAGCCGCCGCGGUAAUACGGAGGGUGCAAGCGUUAAUCGGAAUUACUGGGCGUAAAGCGCACGCAGGCGGUCUGUCAAGUCAGAUGUGAAAUCCCCGGGCUUAACCUGGGAACUGCAUUUGAAACUGGCAGGCUAGAGUCUUGUAGAGGGGGGUAGAAUUCCAGGUGUAGCGGUGAAAUGCGUAGAGAUCUGGAGGAAUACCGGUGGCGAAGGCGGCCCCCUGGACAAAGACUGACGCUCAGGUGCGAAAGCGUGGGGAGCAAACAGGAUUAGAUACCCCUGUAGUCCCUGUCUCUUAUAC
RNAcentral lists this ribosomal RNA (304 nucleotides) under uncultured bacterium. Its description in RNAcentral is "partial 16S ribosomal RNA". It matches the Rfam family "Bacterial small subunit ribosomal RNA", at positions 506 to 807 of the family's 1533-position model. The record is from RNAcentral.